RNAcentral lists this ribosomal RNA (379 nucleotides) under Bacillus amyloliquefaciens. RNAcentral's name for it is "bacterial SSU rRNA". It matches the Rfam family "Bacterial small subunit ribosomal RNA", at positions 1049 to 1429 of the family's 1533-position model. The record is from RNAcentral. Lineage: Bacteria; Bacillati; Bacillota; Bacilli; Caryophanales; Bacillaceae.
UUGUCGUCAGCUCGUGUCGUGAGAUGUUGGGUUAAGUCCCGCAACGAGCGCAACCCUUGAUCUUAGUUGCCAGCAUUCAGUUGGGCACUCUAAGGUGACUGCCGGUGACAAACCGGAGGAAGGUGGGGAUGACGUCAAAUCAUCAUGCCCCUUAUGACCUGGGCUACACACGUGCUACAAUGGACAGAACAAAGGGCAGCGAAACCGCGAGGUUAAGCCAAUCCCACAAAUCUGUUCUCAGUUCGGAUCGCAGUCUGCAACUCGACUGCGUGAAGCUGGAAUCGCUAGUAAUCGCGGAUCAGCAUGCCGCGGUGAAUACGUUCCCGGGCCUUGUACACACCGCCCGUCACACCACGAGAGUUUGUAACACCCGAAGUCG